CUGAGAUUUGGGAAAAAUAAGGACAAAAUAUGUAUGUCCAAUAUGUCUCGGAUCUGAGGACAGAAUGAUAGCUAUUCUGUAUGCCUAUUCUAUUUCAGGAAAUGGAUGAUGAUCUGUGUAUAAGAUCUCGUGCCAUCCUCAUUAACAACUCUACAGAAAAGGUGACUAGUGCUCAGAGGUUAAUUAAUUUCCAUAGUUUAGACAGCAGAGAGUGGAGGUUCAGGUCUCCAAAUUCACACUCGCCUGAUGCCAGGCCAUAUACCUCUAUUCCGGCCCUCUGCUAUUGCCUGUCUACCCCAAUUUGCCAGCAGCCUCUAGGUCCAGGGGUCAACUGUAGCUCGAGGGCCAAAUUUGGCCUGCUGCUAGUUUUGUAAAUAAAGUUUUAUUGGAACACCUCUACUUUGUUUACUGAUCAUCUAUAGCAGCUUUCCCACCACGAUGGCAGAGUUGAGUGGUGUAACAGAGACAUAUGGCCCACUUAACUUAAAAUAUUUAUACCGGGUCUUGUACAGAAAAAUUUUGCUGACUCUUGCCUAUUAUAGACAUGCUUGUGUUUACAACUCCAUCCCUUCCAGUCAGAGGGACAAUGCACAUUUCUCUUUAAGUCCAUUUACUUUCUCCUAUCCAAAUUCAAGAGUCAAUUUUGGUUUAGAAUUUAUCAAAAGUCCUUCUCAUAUAACUUGAGAUUUAGAAAAGCAGAUAGUUUUUGGUCCUAAAACUCAUAAGCAAUAUGGUAACAUUUAAUCGAUUUUCUUUUUGAAUGGCCAGAAGGUGCAAAUGACAUAGUUACCAUGCCAAAAAUUGUCAAAAAUCGUUAAUAAGGUUGGUUCGCUUCACCUAUUUUAAGAAAUCCGGAACUAAUUGCUCUCAAUUAAUCUGCUCCACUCUCUGAUCGCUUAUUUAUCAGAUUGAGAAAGAUUUAAUAGUGCUUGCUUGAAACCAGUUCUUUAAUUGGAAACACCACAGCAUUUAGCUCACUUUGUACUCCAGCAAUUAAGAACGAUUUGGAAAAGUGUUGUUGAUUUUUUUUUUUUACACUAUUGUCUCCUUGAUUAGAUUUCCGAAGAUCCAGACAAAACAAAUGACAAUACCAGCUAGCACUAUUGGUACAAAUAAAAGCCCAACAGCCAGAUUAGUUACUAUGAGAAAUGUGAGCCAUCCUCAUCCAUUUCGUCAGUGUCUUACAUUUAUUUCCCUGUAUCCUUGUCUCCUGUGUAGUUCUGACUACUCAUAAUCUCAGCAGUGUAUGAUAUGCAGUCGUUUGCAAUUUUGCUGAGAUAAGCAAGAGGGAGCCCCUUCUCUGAACUCCUGAUUUUCAGCUGAGUAUGUGACUGCUCAGAAUAAAGAACACAUUUCCAAACUCCCUUGAAGCUACAUGUGGCCAUAUGACUGAGUUCUGGUCAAAGGCAGAGAAACAGACAUGUACGUGCAACCUUCAAGAAGAUUCUCAAAGGGAAGGACUCUUCCUUCCUCUUUCCUGUUGGUUGAACUGCCCCAGUAUUGGCUAGACCUUCGAUCAUGAGGUGGAAGCCUCAUUUUGAGAACGGCAAAACCACAAGAGCCUAGGUCCCUGAUGAUCAUGAAACUGCCACACCAAACCUAGACAUUAUGUGAAAGAGAAAUAAAGGUGCGUCUGUUAAUGUCACCAUUACUUUGGCUCUAGAGUCGCUUGCAGCCAAAUCUAAUCCCACGUGAGUAGGAGAUAUGGCUAAUAUUGCUACCUGCCUAUCCAAUAUCCACUCCCUCCUUCUUCUUGCAAAAGCACCCCAAUGUCACUCAAAGUGCCAACAUGCAGAGUAAAAAAAUCGUGAUUUCCCAAGUUCCAGUGUCAUUAGGAUGGCCAUGUGACAGAGCUGGCAAUGAAAUGCAGUGUAAGUCUACUGGACAGGGCUCCUAUUUUCCUCAUAAAAAGAAAUAGGCUCUUCUUCCUGCCAGAAAUGUGGAAGCACUGCCUGGAGGGACAGCACCUAUGCUGUAACUAGAGGGUGAAAGUCAUAUGCUAAGGUAAAGAUGGUGAAGCAGAAAAAUAAAAGGUGCUUGGAUGGACAGUAUGGAAUUGCUACAUCGAUUUGGACUUCAUGCCUUUAGUUUUCUUACAAUAUGAGAAUAACUAAUCUCUUACUUGUCUAAGUAACCUAGUCAAGUUUCUAUGAUAUCCAAUCAAAGAUAAUCUUGACAUAAAGGAAUUCAUUGUUCAGUUCUGGUGAUUUUAAGUCAGGGAUGCCCGAUAAGGGUCCAAAUGGAUAUAACGUGUACACAGUUGGAUACGAGUCUGUAAACCUGGAAGUCAGAAUAAUUAAGUGCUAUUUAGAGCCAUGGAACUAGAUGACAUGACAUUGGAGUUAGGUAUAGAUGAAGAAAAGAGGC
Molecule: long non-coding RNA, 2367 nt
Organism: Pteropus alecto (black flying fox)
Lineage: Eukaryota; Metazoa; Chordata; Mammalia; Chiroptera; Pteropodidae
Exons: 3
Source: RefSeq, a predicted model, not a curated record